RNAcentral lists this unclassified non-coding RNA (338 nucleotides) under soil metagenome. Its description in RNAcentral is "partial contains 5.8S ribosomal RNA, internal transcribed spacer 2, and large subunit ribosomal RNA". The stretch from base 1 to 120 matches the Rfam family "5.8S ribosomal RNA", at positions 35 to 154 of the family's 154-position model. The record is from RNAcentral.
GAUGAAGAACGUAGCGAAAUGCGAUAAGUAAUGUGAAUUACAGAAUUCAGUGAAUCAUCGAAUCUUUGAACGCACAUUGCGCCCGGCAGUACUCUGCCGGGCAUGCCUGUUCGAGCGUCAUUUCAACCCUCAAGCCCUGCUUGGUGUUGGGGCCCCACGGCUGCCGUGGGCCCUGAAAGGAAGUGGCGGGCUCGCUACAACUCCGAGCGUAGUAAUUCAUUAUCUCGCUUAGGGCGUUGGGCGGCGCUCCAGCCGUUAAAGAACCAUCUUUAACUCAAGGUUGACCUCGGAUCAGGUAGGAAUACCCGCUGAACUUAAGCAUAUCAAUAAGCGGAGGA